CUGCAUGAAGUUGGAAUCACUAGUAAUCGCGGAUCAGCAUGCCGCGGUGAAUGCGUUCUCGGGCCUUGUACACACCGCCCGUCACACCAUGAGAGUCGGGAACACCCGAAGUCCGUAGUCUAACCGCAAGGGGGGCGCGGCCGAAGGUAGGAUUGGCGACUGGGGUGAAGUCGUAACAAGGUAGC
This 185-nucleotide ribosomal RNA is filed under the name uncultured bacterium. RNAcentral's name for it is "partial 16S ribosomal RNA". It matches the Rfam family "Bacterial small subunit ribosomal RNA", at positions 1316 to 1500 of the family's 1533-position model. The record is from RNAcentral.